GAUGAACGCUGGCGGCGUGCCUAAUACAUGCAAGUCGAGCGAACAGAUGAGGAGCUUGCUCCUCUGACGGUAGCAGCGGACAGGGGAGUAGCAAGUGGAUAACCUCCUUAUAAGACUUGGAUAACUUCGGGAAAACGGAGCUACUAACAGGGGAUAUAUUGAACCGCAUGGUUCAAUAGUGUAGGACGGUUUUUGUGUCAGUUAUAGAUGGAUCCGCGCCGCAUUAGCUUGUUGGUAAGGUGACGGCUUACCAAGGCAACGAUGCGUAGCCGACCUGAGAGGGUGGUCGGCCACAAUAGUACGGCGGCGCCGUCGACAAUACUACGAGGGGCAGCAGUAGGGAAUAAUCCUGCACGGGCGGCAGAAUGACGGAGCAACGCCGCGGGAUGGAUGAUGGUCUCCGGAGCGUAGAGCUCUGUUAUUGGGGAUGAACAAGUGUGGAAGUAACUGUGCGCGGGUUGACGGUAGCUGAUCAGGAAGCCACGGCUAACUACGUG
This 497-nucleotide ribosomal RNA is filed under the name uncultured bacterium. RNAcentral describes it as "partial 16S ribosomal RNA". It matches the Rfam family "Bacterial small subunit ribosomal RNA", at positions 28 to 507 of the family's 1533-position model. The record is from RNAcentral.